RNAcentral lists this ribosomal RNA (490 nucleotides) under Escherichia coli. RNAcentral describes it as "bacterial SSU rRNA". It matches the Rfam family "Bacterial small subunit ribosomal RNA", at positions 99 to 585 of the family's 1533-position model. The record is from RNAcentral. Lineage: Bacteria; Pseudomonadati; Pseudomonadota; Gammaproteobacteria; Enterobacterales; Enterobacteriaceae.
CGGACGGGUGAGUAAUGUCUGGGAAACUGCCUGAUGGAGGGGGAUAACUACUGGAAACGGUAGCUAAUACCGCAUAACGUCGCAAGACCAAAGAGGGGGACCUUCGGGCCUCUUGCCAUCGGAUGUGCCCAGAUGGGAUUAGCUUGUUGGUGGGGUAACGGCUCACCAAGGCGACGAUCCCUAGCUGGUCUGAGAGGAUGACCAGCCACACUGGAACUGAGACACGGUCCAGACUCCUACGGGAGGCAGCAGUGGGGAAUAUUGCACAAUGGGCGCAAGCCUGAUGCAGCCAUGCCGCGUGUAUGAAGAAGGCCUUCGGGUUGUAAAGUACUUUCAGCGGGGAGGAAGGGAGUAAAGUUAAUACCUUUGCUCAUUGACGUUACCCGCAGAAGAAGCACCGGCUAACUCCGUGCCAGCAGCCGCGGUAAUACGGAGGGUGCAAGCGUUAAUCGGAAUUACUGGGCGUAAAGCGCACGCAGGCGGUUUGUUA